GCCCCUAAAUCAACAAAGCCCAGGUCAUGCAGACUUUUAAUCCGCAGGUCCCAGGUUCGAGCCCUGGUGGGGGCACCA
This 78-nucleotide transfer RNA is filed under the name Mycobacterium deserti. RNAcentral describes it as "tRNA-OTHER". It matches the Rfam family "tRNA". From Rfam's summary of the family: Transfer RNA (tRNA) molecules are approximately 80 nucleotides in length. Lineage: Bacteria; Bacillati; Actinomycetota; Actinomycetes; Mycobacteriales; Mycobacteriaceae. The record is from RNAcentral.